This 532-nucleotide ribosomal RNA is filed under the name uncultured bacterium. Its description in RNAcentral is "bacterial SSU rRNA". It matches the Rfam family "Bacterial small subunit ribosomal RNA", at positions 356 to 896 of the family's 1533-position model. The record is from RNAcentral.
GGGGAAUAUUGCACAAUGGGCGCAAGCCUGAUGCAGCGACGCCGCGUGGGGGAUGAAGGCCUUCGGGUUGUAAACUCCUUUCGCUAGGGACGAAGCUUUUUGUGACGGUACCUAGAUAAGAAGCACCGGCUAACUACGUGCCAGCAGCCGCGGUAAUACGUAGGGUGCGAGCGUUGUCCGGAAUUACUGGGCGUAAAGGGCUCGUAGGUGGUUUGUCGCGUCGUCUGUGAAGUUCUGGGGCUUAACUCCGGGCGUGCAGGCGAUACGGGCAUAACUUGAGUGCUGUAGGGGUAACUGGAAUUCCUGGUGUAGUGGUGAAAUGCGCAGAUAUCAGGAGGAACACCGAUGGCGAAGGCAGGUUACUGGGCAGUUACUGACGCUGAGGAGCGAAAGCAUGGGUAGCGAACAGGAUUAGAUACCCUGGUAGUCCAUGCCGUAAACGGUGGGCGCUAGGUGUGAGGGUCUUUCUACGACUUUCGUGCCGUAGCUAACGCAUUAAGCGCCCCGCCUGGGGAGUACGGCCGCAAGGCUA